UACGUAGGCAGCGAGCGUUGUCCGGAAUCACUGGGCGUAAAGGGAGUCUAGGCGGUUUGGUAAGUGGGAUGUGAAAUGCCCGGGCUCACCCCGGGACCUGCAUCCCAAACUGCUGAGCUUGAGUACAGGAGGGGGUGGGGGAACUCCAGGUGUAGCGGUGAAAUGCGUAGAUAUCUGGAGGAACACCGGUGGCGAAGGCGCCCACCUGGCCUGCUACUGACGCUGAAGCUCGAAAGCUAGGGGAGCAAACGGG
This 253-nucleotide ribosomal RNA is filed under the name uncultured bacterium. RNAcentral describes it as "partial 16S ribosomal RNA". It matches the Rfam family "Bacterial small subunit ribosomal RNA", at positions 524 to 776 of the family's 1533-position model. The record is from RNAcentral.